CGGUCGCAAGAUUAAAACUCAAAGGAAUAGACGGGGACCCGCACAAGCGGUGGAGCAUGUGGUUUAAUUCGAAGAUACGCGAAGAACCUUACCUGGGCUUGAUAUCCUAAGAACCUUUUAGAGAUAAGAGGGUGCUAGCUUGCUAGAACUUAGAGACAGGUGCUGCACGGCUGUCGUCAGCUCGUGUCGUGAGAUGUUGGGUUAAGUCCCGCAACGAGCGCAACCCACGUAUUUAGUUGCUAACGGUUCGGCCGAGCACUCUAAAUAGACUGCCUUCGUAAGGAGGAGGAAGGUGUGGACGACGUCAAGUCAUCAUGGCCCUUAUGCCCAGGGCGACACACGUGCUACAAUGGCAUAUACAAUGAGACGCAAUACCGCGAGGUGGAGCAAAUCUAUAAAAUAUGUCCCAGUUCGGAUUGUUCUCUGCAACUCGAGAGCAUGAAGCCGGAAUCGCUAGUAAUCGUAGAUCAGCCAUGCUACGGUGAAUACGUUCCCGGGUCUUGUACUCACCGCCCGUCACACCAUGGGAGUUGAUUUCACUCGAAGCCGGAAUACUAAACUAGUUACCGUCCACAGUGGAAUCAGCGACUGGGGUGAAGUCGUAACAAGGUAACCGUAGGAGAACCUGCGGUUGGAUCACCUCCUUUCUAGAGUACAGA
Molecule: ribosomal RNA, 659 nt
Filed under: Campylobacter coli
Lineage: Bacteria; Pseudomonadati; Campylobacterota; Epsilonproteobacteria; Campylobacterales; Campylobacteraceae
Description: bacterial SSU rRNA
Rfam family: Bacterial small subunit ribosomal RNA
Source: RNAcentral